This 251-nucleotide ribosomal RNA is filed under the name uncultured bacterium. RNAcentral describes it as "partial 16S ribosomal RNA". It matches the Rfam family "Bacterial small subunit ribosomal RNA", at positions 524 to 776 of the family's 1533-position model. The record is from RNAcentral.
GACGGGGGGGGCAAGUGUUCUUCGGAAUGACUGGGCGUAAAGGGCACGUAGGCGGUGAAUCGGGUUGAAAGUGAAAGUCGCCAAAAAGUGGCGGAAUGCUCUCGAAACCAAUUCACUUGAGUGAGACAGAGGAGAGUGGAAUUUCGUGUGUAGGGGUGAAAUGCGUAGAUAUCGGGAGGAACACCAGUGGCGAAGGCGACUACCUGGCCUGUUCUUGACGCUGAGGCGCGAAAGCUAGGGGAGCAAACGGG